CAAAAAAAAAAAAAAAAACUUUAAUUAACAGCCUUGCCUCUUCUCCAGCACCAUUUUCGUUUUACAGAACCUUCACUAGCAACAAUCUGCAAUGGCAGAAACUUGAUGCCAGUCAGGUCUAUCUCAGCAUCCCCUUCGCAUUAGAACCACCUGAGAAUAUUGAAUCUUUCACUCAGCUUGUAUGUUUUCCAGAAGAAGAGAGAUGAAGAAGAAAUAUUAAUUAAAUAAUUAAUAAAAUGAAACAAUACUUAACUGGUUAUGUUGAAGUUGGUUUCCAGAUAGAGAAGAAGGCUGUAUAUAGUUAGCAAAGUGGUCUUGGUAUGCAGAUCUCCCCUCAAAAUGUGUAGCUGAAAAACCAGCCGCUUGUGAAUAAUCCAAUGUGGUUUCCAUUGAAGCUUGAUUUUUAUCCAUGAAAGCAAAAUCGCUAUUCUUGGAGAAGUUGAAGGCAGGAGAGCUAGCAGUAUCAUCAAGAAAAGAGGGGAGUUCUUGCUCCUUUUUCCUUUUCCCACCAUUAUUAUUCAUCAAUGUAGUAUCCUUAAAUGCAGGAUAGAAGCAACCAUUAUUACCGUAAUUAAAGUAAUUACUUUCAUCUUCAUGAAAAUGAUGAGGAGGCCCAGAAGAUGCAUCAGAGACCAUAGACAAAUCCUCCUCAUCAUGUUCUUGAUCUUCAUCACUUUCUGCUUUAUUACCAUGCUCCUUUUUAUUCCAAAAGCCAGAACUCUUUCUAACAUCAACUAGCUUGGAACCUCUAUGUGCAGUAGCAGCAGUAGUUGGAGACAGAAAAGAUUGUUCCAAGUAAAGAGUCCAACCAGACUCACAACCACUAGUGCAUUCUGAGGCAGACGCGUUCAUCUUCCUCGUAGCUAGCUAUAGCUAUCUUUCUUUCACUCUCUCAAAGAAACAAGAAAUGAAGUUGGCUUCUUUUUAUGAAGGAGGAGAGUGAAAACAUAUAAGAGAAGCUAAUUAAGCAAAGGUAGGAUAGUGUGGAGAAGAUUGUGGGAAAAAACCAAGAGAAUCAGGUUCGAAUCCGAGACUAAAUUUGUCCUGACUCUCCUCAUUCAGUCUCUCUGUGCGAAUGUAUAAAAAAUGCCAGUUGGGUUUGGGCUAUUCAGUGGGUACAUGUA
RNAcentral lists this unclassified non-coding RNA (1124 nucleotides) under Hevea brasiliensis (rubber tree). The record is from RNAcentral. Lineage: Eukaryota; Viridiplantae; Streptophyta; Magnoliopsida; Malpighiales; Euphorbiaceae.